AGCAGCCGCCGCGGUAAUACAGAGGGUGCGAGCGUUAAUCGGAUUUACUGGGCGUAAAGCGUGCGUAGGCGGCUUUUUAAGUCGGAUGUGAAAUCCCUGAGCUUAACUUAGGAAUUGCAUUCGAUACUGGGAAGCUAGAGUAUGGGAGAGGAUGGUAGAAUUCCAGGUGUAGCGGUGAAAUGCGUAGAGAUCUGGAGGAAUACCGAUGGCGAAGGCAGCCAUCUGGCCUAAUACUGACGCUGAGGUACGAAAGCAUGGGGAGCAAACAGGAUUAGAUACCCGGGUAGUCCCUGUCUCUUAUAC
This 303-nucleotide ribosomal RNA is filed under the name uncultured bacterium. RNAcentral describes it as "partial 16S ribosomal RNA". It matches the Rfam family "Bacterial small subunit ribosomal RNA", at positions 507 to 807 of the family's 1533-position model. The record is from RNAcentral.